This 301-nucleotide ribosomal RNA is filed under the name uncultured bacterium. RNAcentral describes it as "partial 16S ribosomal RNA". It matches the Rfam family "Bacterial small subunit ribosomal RNA", at positions 509 to 807 of the family's 1533-position model. The record is from RNAcentral.
CAGUCGCCACGGUAAUACGGAGGGUGCAAGCGUUAAUCGGAAUUACUGGGCGUAAAGCGCACGCAGGCGGUUUGUUAAGUCAGAUGUGAAAUCCCCGGGCUCAACCUGGGAACUGCAUUUGAAACUGGCAAGCUAGAGUCUCGUAGAGGGGGGUAGAAUUCCAGGUGUAGCGGUGAAAUGCGUAGAGAUCUGGAGGAAUACCGGUGGCGAAGGCGGCCCCCUGGACAAAGACUGACGCUCAGGUGCGAAAGCGUGGGGAGCAAACAGGAUUAGAUACCCCAGUAGUCCCUGUCUCUUAUAC